RNAcentral lists this ribosomal RNA (483 nucleotides) under uncultured bacterium. RNAcentral's name for it is "partial 16S ribosomal RNA". It matches the Rfam family "Bacterial small subunit ribosomal RNA", at positions 30 to 506 of the family's 1533-position model. The record is from RNAcentral.
AUUGAACGCUGGCGGCAGGCCUAACACAUGCAAGUCGAGCGGAUGAAGGGAGCUUGCUCCUGGAUUCAGCGGCGGACGGGUGAGUAAUGCCUAGGAAUCUGCCUGGUAGUGGGGGAUAACGUCCGGAAACGGGCGCUAAUACCGCAUACGUCCUGAGGGAGAAGGUGGGGGAUCUUCGGACCUCACGCUAUCAGAUGAGCCUAGGUCGGAUUAGCUAGUUGGUGGGGUAAAGGCCUACCAAGGCGCCGAUCCGUAACUGGUCUGAGAGGAUGAUCAGUCACAGUGGAACUGAGACACGGGCCAGAAUCCUACGGGAGGCAGCAGUGGGGAAUAUUGGACAAUGGGCGAAAGCCUGAACCAGCCAUGCCGCGUGUGUGAAGAAGGUCUUCGGAUUGUAAAGCACUUUAAGUUGGGAGGAAGGGCAGUAAGUUAAUACCUUGCUGUUUUGACGUUACCAACAGAAUAAGCACCGGCUAACUUCGU